UUACCUACGGGGGGCUGCAGUGAGGAAUAUUGGUCAAUGGGCGCAAGCCUGAACCAGCCAUGCCGCGUGAAGGAUGAAGGCCCUAUGGGUCGUAAACUUCUUUUGUACGGGACGAAACCCCAGAACGUGUUCUGGGCUGACGGUACUGUACGAAUAAGCAUCGGCUAACUCCGUGCCAGCAGCCGCGGUAAUACGGAGGAUGCAAGCGUUGUCCGGAUUCAUUGGGUUUAAAGGGUGCGUAGGCGGGAUAUUAAGUCAGUGGUGAAAGCCUACAGCUUAACUGUAGAAUGGCCAUUGAUACUGAUAUUCUUGAGUACAGUUGAGGUAGCUGGAAUGUGUGGUGUAGCGGUGAAAUGCUUAGAUAUCACACAGAACACCGAUUGCGAAGGCAGGUUACUAAGCUGUAACUGACGCUGAGGCACGAAAGCGUGGGGAGCAAACAGGAUUAGAUACCCUUGUAGUCCCC
RNAcentral lists this ribosomal RNA (466 nucleotides) under uncultured Bacteroidales bacterium. RNAcentral's name for it is "bacterial SSU rRNA". It matches the Rfam family "Bacterial small subunit ribosomal RNA", at positions 335 to 798 of the family's 1533-position model. The record is from RNAcentral. Lineage: Bacteria; Pseudomonadati; Bacteroidota; Bacteroidia; Bacteroidales.